CGAUUGGGACCUUUUUGAUUCCAAGAAGUGCCGCCGGUUUGCCAUCUAUCCCUUUGCCUUCUCUCUCUCACCAGGUUUAGGCUUUGGUUUCUUGAUGUAUUUCCGGUUCAUCUUUUUGGAGAGGUCAGCAUCAGCUACUCGGAAUUGAUUUCGUUCAAAGAAGGUAGGUUCCUUGUGGACCGUUAUAUCUUUGUUCUUUCCUUUUCCUUGUGGCUGAGGAGUGUUCCUGUUUCCGAGCUCCACUUUCGAGUACUCGGUUUCUGUGAUGCUGGCUUAAUCGGUUCCAACCGACCCGUCUUGAAACACGGACCAAGGAGUCUAACAUAUGUGCGAGUAUGCGGGUUUUACUCCUGUAUGCGCAAUGAAAGUGAGAGUAGGGAGAUUUUGGCUUUGCCAUUCUUCGCACCUACGACCGACCACGAUCUCUGAGAGAGGUUUGAGUUGGAGCAUAUCUGUUAGGACCCGAAAGAUGGUGAACUAUGCCUGAGUAGAAUGAAGUCAGGGGAAACCCUGAUGGAGGUUCGUAGCGAUACUGACGUGCAAAUCGUUCGUCAAACUUGGGUAUAGGGGCGAAAGACUAA
Molecule: ribosomal RNA, 581 nt
Filed under: Toxoplasma gondii
Lineage: Eukaryota; Apicomplexa; Conoidasida; Eucoccidiorida; Sarcocystidae
Description: LSU rRNA
Rfam family: Eukaryotic large subunit ribosomal RNA
Source: RNAcentral